Molecule: long non-coding RNA, 410 nt
Filed under: Cyanistes caeruleus (blue tit)
Lineage: Eukaryota; Metazoa; Chordata; Aves; Passeriformes; Paridae
Description: lncRNA (ENSCCEG00000013997.1)
Source: RNAcentral
GCUCAUUUUGCUAUAAUUUUAUUUCUCUGGAAACUCCUUUAGACCUCUGAGAUACAUUUACCAGUUCUCUUUCUCCCUUUUGUUAAAGACUUUCCAUCCUGGAAAAAUAAGAGAAUGAUGAAAUCAUCAAGACCGGGGUUCAGAAGGAUCCCUCAGAAAGAUCCUGGGAUGGAUGUGAAUGUCAGAGAAUGGCAGGACAAGCCAUAAAAAUCACAGAGACCAAAUGUGUAACCUCUGUGAUGCAAAUUAUAUUUAACCAGCUCUGGGGACUGAAUAUGGAUUGCUGCUUUGGUGAGUCUGGGUCUCUCUAUUUGGUCACAGAAUAGUAUGUCUCUAUGAUAUAAGGCCAACUGUGAUACACAUUUAUAUAUAUAAAUAAAGCAUUGAGUUUAUUUUAUUUUAAAAUUAUU